RNAcentral lists this ribosomal RNA (253 nucleotides) under uncultured bacterium. Its description in RNAcentral is "partial 16S ribosomal RNA". It matches the Rfam family "Bacterial small subunit ribosomal RNA", at positions 524 to 776 of the family's 1533-position model. The record is from RNAcentral.
UACAGAGGGUGCAAGCGUUGUUCGGAAUUACUGGGCGUAAAGGGCGCGUAGGCGGCCUGUUAAGUCGAACGUGAAAUCCCCGGGCUCAACCCGGGAACUGCGUCCGAUACUGGCAGGCUUGAAUUCGGGAGAGGGAUGCGGAAUUCCAGGUGUAGCGGUGAAAUGCGUAGAUAUCUGGAGGAACACCGGUGGCGAAGGCGGCAUCCUGGACCGAGAUUGACGCUGAGGCGCGAAAGCCAGGGGAGCAAGCGGG